This 253-nucleotide ribosomal RNA is filed under the name uncultured bacterium. RNAcentral's name for it is "partial 16S ribosomal RNA". It matches the Rfam family "Bacterial small subunit ribosomal RNA", at positions 524 to 776 of the family's 1533-position model. The record is from RNAcentral.
UACGAAGAGGGCUAGCGUUGUUCGGAAUUACUGGGCGUAAAGCGCGCGUAGGCGGUGAUCUAUGUCAGAGGUGAAAUCCCGGGGCUCAACUCCGGAAUUGCCUUUGAAACGGGAUCGCUAGAGUCCGAGAGAGGAUGGCGGAAUUCCUAGUGUAGAGGUGAAAUUCGUAGAUAUUAGGAAGAACACCGGUGGCGAAGGCGGCCAUCUGGCUCGGUACUGACGCUCAGGCGCGAAAGCGUGGGGAGCAAACAGG